CAACGUCUUGGUCCUAGACCUGCCCUUGUCACCAACUGCCACUACACAUGCCAGUAUCCACAUACCAGUGCCCACGCCCACAACCUUUGCUUUAAGGAAAGGAGCAGGUAUCAGGCACACAAGACACGUAGCCCAAAACACCUAGCCAAUGCCACACCCCCACGGAACUCAGCAGUGAUCAACAUUAGGCCAUAAGCAAAAGCUUGACCUAGGCGCAGCCAACCAAUAACCGAGCCGGUAAACCCCGUGCCAGCCACCGCGGUUACACGUGGGGCUCAUGACAACAAACACCGGCGUAAAGCGUGACUAGAGAUGGGUUUACCAUAAGAGAUUUUAACUAUGCCAUAGUUGUAAAAUACACAUACACAUAGAACCACCAACCAAAUUUCUUACUACUAAACCAGCUUGACCACACGAAAGCUAGGGUACAAACUAGGAUUAGAUACCCUACUAUGCCUAGCCAUAAACCUAGGCAGCAUCACAACCAGCUGCCCGCCCGAGAAUUACAAGCGAAAAGCUUAAAACUCAAAGGACUUGACGGUGCCCCAUAACAACCUAGAGGAGCUUGUCCUAUAAUCGAUACCCCACGAAGUACCUCACCUAUUCUAGCACCUCAGUCUAUAUACCGCCGUCGUCAGUCUACCCUAUAAAGGCCCACCAGUAGACAAAAUUGACUUCCCCAAAAACGUCAGGUCAAGGUGUAACACAAGAAAAGGGAAGAGAUGAGCUACAUUUUCUAAUAGAACUUACCAACCACACCCUGAAAAAGUGCCCAAAGGUGGAUUUAGCAGUAAGCUAAGUAAGACAGCUCAGCUGAAUCAUGCUCUGGGACGCGUACACACCGCCCGUCACCCUCCUCAAUACAAACCAACAACACUAAAUAAACCAACAAACAAAAACAGAUGAGGCAAGUCGUAACAUGGUAAGCGUACUGGAAAGUGCGCUUGGAAUAC
Molecule: non-coding RNA, 953 nt
Filed under: Afrogecko porphyreus
Lineage: Eukaryota; Metazoa; Chordata; Lepidosauria; Squamata; Gekkonidae
Description: 12S ribosomal RNA
Rfam family: Bacterial small subunit ribosomal RNA
Source: RNAcentral